GUGCGCGUGUGUGUGUGUGUGUGUGUGAGAGAGAGAGAGAGAGAGAGAUGAAUUGGAGUCAUCCGACUGGGUGUUUCCUUCCGAGUGGUUUUGAUCAGCAAUCCAUUAGUGGAUCAUGGAAACUUUUUUUUUUUCUUUUCUGACUAAAAGGAUGAAAACUGAGUAAGUACACAGAACUUUGAACUUGAAACGGAGUGAAACAAAUGCAAGCAGAACCCUGACAGUCACCAUGUCCAUCCAAGCAGCUUAUUCCCUUUUUAUGAUAAAAGCCGUGAGUGCCUACAGGAAAGUGGGAAUGUAAAGCUGAAUGAAGGGCAGCUCACAAAAGGCUGAAAGCAGGACUGCUUUAAAACCCGGAGGAAAAAUGAGGAACUGCUAAGGCAACCUGGCCUGCGCCCAGCUGUGCAACAGGCACUUUGGGUUUUAACCUACUGCGUUCUUCGAGGCUGUUUUCAGACUCCAGAUUUACUUUGGUGUUGUUUUCUCUCUUCCUGUGAAGCUGAGGCAGAGUCGGGCUCCUUUGCUGUGAGUUGAAGGAUGUUGUGAAAAUAAGGCAUUGCCGGAAGCAACGGUUUGGCAGCAACACUCAGGUUAUUUGUUACGGCUAUUAUUAUUUUGAUGUCUUUUUUUUUUUAACCCUGGUCAGCUACUUUUUACUGUCAUCCAUGGAAGGGCUCUCAUUAACCACCUCAGACUUCUGGGACCUGUGAUUCUUUGGCAUGACCCUUCGGAAAGUUCGUAAGCAGAGAUGGAGCAAACUUGAUUGGAGUUGUGGAAAAAGAGGACAGAUUUGUGUUUUUUCAUGCUGACAAAAAAUAGCUGCUAUGACUUUUCCCGCAAAGUGGACAGGGGCCAAGUGAAGCUGAACUGGUCAUGGUCUGUCGCCCAGUGCUCCCUUGUCGUCGGCGGUUUUGCCCCCGACCCUUCUUGGUGGGCUUGGCUGUGGCAAUCUGUCUCUUCUACCAGUCCCUCACCCUCCGGGGGACAAGGAAGCUCGCAGCCGCUGUCCCUGGCGCUGCCCCACGCACGUCCACUGAAACCCAGGCCAGCAGAUGCAAGACAGAAUUCUCGCAGGACAAACAGUGCUUCCUUCUCUCUGGUGAUGCACAGGAAAUCAGAAAGAUUGAAGAAGCAAUUGAGACACACUUUGGCGGUCAUGGCCGAAGGGCCAUACUCUACAGUCCUUCCAACAGCAAAACAGAGCUUCAGCUCCAUCAGCGCAUUCUCACAGAGCAUGGCUAUACGGUUGUCAUCGCUGAAGAAAGGCUUCAUGCUGGCCUUGGGCAGGGGCUGCUAGAACAAGGUGAUUUGGGCCUCUGGGAUCUGCUCAUUUGCUUGUCUUCUGAGAAAGCUGAUGGAAAACCCUGCAUAUCCAAGGAGAACAUGUGCCAGUUAAGUUUACAUCAAAAGGUAAACAUAUUGCCAGAAAUACAGCAUCAGCUUUGCAAAAAGGAAGGAUUAUGUGAAAUAAUAAGAAGAUUUCCAGAAUUGCAACUUCCAGUGAGUCCCUCUGUAUGUCUGGAACAGGGAAUACAAUUAAAGCCAAGUACUUCAAGUCACCUUUUAAAAACAGUGAAGCCACCUAUCUGGAAACCAGGGAACUGGAGACGUGAACAGCUGAAUCAAACAACAGUCCUUGCUCCACAUGAAACAAUCUUUAGAGCCGAAGAUCUAUCUGUGAUUCUUAAAGCGUAUGUGUUGGUGACAUCCUUAACCCCUUUGCGUGCAUUCAUUCAUUCAACUGGCACUGUUUGGAAUCUACCAAAGAAAAAACGCUUCACUGAAAAGCUGCAAACAUUUUUUGAGACAUUCCUGAGGGCCAGUUCAUCUCUUCAGGCUUUUGAUAAUAUGAAGGAAGCAAUUAGCAAACUUUUGCUAGCAGCCGAAGUAUUCAGUGAAACAUCUACUCGGGGACCAAAGACCUUCAAUAGAUGCAGAUUAUGUUUUCAACUUUUAACUUUUGACAUUGGUUAUGGCAGUUUCAGAUACCCUGUAGUGCUCCAGGUACAUGAGCAUUUAAAUUUUCAAGAUAAUGAUAAUAUGGAUUUUGAGGACCAAAAUACAGAAGAAUUCCUUUUAAAAGAUACUUUCAAUUUUCUCUUCUCUAAUGAAUUACCGCUUUCUGGGUUUUCUGAGAUAUUUCAGAGACUUUAUAGAUCAGAUGUGUUUAAGGGUGAAAACGAUCAAAAGGAACUAAAUCAAUGUCUGUCUUUAGAGGAAAUCAACUCCAUAUUCACUUUCAUAAAGGAACUUGGGAGUCUGGGACAAUUCCAACUGCUCUUCCCAUCCGCUACUCCUGGGAUUCAAUCUUUGGUGCGUGAAUUUUAUGAUAUGGCCAAUCUUAUGGGAAAACCUGGCUCAGUCCUGACCCAGUACUGGUCUCUUUUAAAUAUAUUUGAACAAUUUCGGCUCAUGAACAUAAAGGCACAGCUACAUCCACUGGAAUGGAAUUCUUUCACAGACAAUGAGAACAUUGAAAAACCACAAGUGCCAUUUGACGCAAUAGGAAAUAAAAAAGCUGCAGUUCCACAAAUUAGGAAUGAAAAUAAAGAAAUACAUUGCAGUAAUGAUAAAAACACACCAUGUCAUAUUAAGCAGAUCUUCACACAUCCACAUUUGGAGCUUAACCCUGAAUUUAAUCUGCAGAUCAAAGAUUAUUAUGCUGAAGUCCCAUUUGAUGUGGUAACAGUGACAAUUGGAGUGGAGACUUCUAACUGUCAGUGCAAAGUGCACCUGUAUGAACAGGCUGGGCCAAGCUUUGCCAACUACCCUCUAGGCUUAGGAAUGAACAAAAUCUCAAUAUUUGUGGUGGAUGAAUCUCCAGCACAGGGUGAGACCCUGGUCACUUACAAACUCACCAUCUAUAGAGAAGACCGCCCAAGUCUGCCCUUGUUUGAGGACUUCACAGCAUGUGGUUUUGUGCAGGAUUGUGGUUUGCUGAUUGACCCGGAGGAAACUUGUGGAUUACAGCCUAUUUCUUCUGACUACAUUGAAGCCAUUUCACAGUCUGAGCUAAAGAGUUGUCCAUCUGGGGACAUAAAAGGCCAGUGGAUUGUGCCAUGCCUUAGUUGUUCAGACAACAGGACCUGUGACUGGAGAGAAAUAACUUGGCAGCCCCACAACUGCCAAUACGAUGUCCUAACUAAGCCUCAACUGCAGCAGUGCUUGGGAGGAAGGAAGCAACGUGAACAGGAUCUUAGGUGGAAAGAUGGAGUAAGCUUCCUUCUUGGAGCAUUUGUAUAAUCCAUUUCUAUGGCAAACAUAUGCGUAUGGAGGGCAGGUAAAUGUGGGACCUCUUUUAAACUCUAAACUGAUCUCUGAAUAUGAUUUACUUCAUUAUAGGCUUUUGUUGAUGUGUGUUGGUUUUGUGAUAUAUAAUUGUGUUGAAUUACAGCAAAAUCAAUUGAAGAAAAACAAGCUAUGUUUUCAAUUUUACUUUCAUACAUUUCUCUAAAUAGAUACCCACCUCUUAAUUAAUAAACUCUCAAUGGAACAUUUAUAAAAACUUUUCAGUACAUAACUUUGUAGUCAUAGCGUGAAAUAUAUAGGAGAUAGUUUAGAAAUAUGAUAAUCAAGUUUACAACUGGAAAAACUUAGGAGCCUGACCCAACUGAAUUAAACAAGCCUUUAUUUUGUUUGUCAGUUGAAAACAGUUCAGAAUUUAAACCAGUAAUAAAAUAUCUGAGAGAAAAGUGCAAUUAAGAAAGGGAAAUAUAAAAAGGCAAUAUUUACGGAAAGUACUCAAACUCAGCUGUUAAAACAGGAAAUGUAAGUUAAAUUUUUAAGUAAUGUUUUCAAGUUAAGUAGUGUCUUGGACUUAAAGGUGUUUAAAUUUUUUAAGUGUGGCUAAUUUAUAAUAAUAUGUUCUCACUAAUAUGUGAAUUCCACUAUGGUUAUGUAAUUCAUUGUUGCCUGUCAGUUUCAAUAAAUAGGGAUGGAUAAAAGGAAAGGAGUGCAGUCACUCUCACCAGGGAAGAAUGACUUGCACAUGAUCCCCCCUUCAGCAUUCAACAAAUACACCAACAGUCCAGAUGAAAUGGCAAUAUAGACAAAGAAUUUUGCUCCAAGCAGCUAAAAGAUGUAUCUAUCUAUCUAUCUAGGCGAUGCUAAAUAGUUGCUUGCUUUCCUUUUUUUUGCCACAUUUUGUGUCUGAGAAUGAUUUGCCUAAAUGUCAAUCUUACAUUUGUUUUUGACCCCAAACAGCAAUUUAGCUGCUCCUCUAUAGCCAAUUUAAUUAAAAUGCAUGAUUGAAAAACAUCCGUCAUAACCAUAUCGCAUUUCACAAAGAGACGCUUUGUUGAACUAGAUUUUCAUCAUGACCUAAAUAUCAUUUUAGCCGUCUGAUCAGUCUCAGCUUCGUGUUACAGCUGAACGACCCCCCGCAUCAUUUAGAAAUGGGUGUUUAUCUUAUGAGAUCAGUGAUUUUCAACCUUGGUGCUCAUCAGAAUCACUGGAGAACUGUCUAAACUCAUGGCCUAGGCUUGGCCCUGUACUAGAUGUAAUGAAUGAGACUCCUCCUCACCUCACUUUCAUUCCCUUUAUCUAUACCGAUGUGACAGCUCUGCAGUAAGUAGGCAUUCCCUAGAUUAAUGGACACAUAGCUCCUGCUGCACUCCUAUAUAACUUCCCUUUUUGGAAGGUUCCAGUGGGUUCCUGUUACCUGGUCUGAGUCUUGUGUUGGCAUCUACAUGCACUUUAUUGGUUCCAAAGAAAUACUCCCAAUACUGUAAAUUCUGAAGAUAGGCCCUGUGCAGGGGUAAAGCAAGAGAGGAGGGAAAUGAUUUCUUUUUUUUACUUUUCUUUUCUUGUCUAUUAAUACUACAUACACCCAAUUCUUUCCCUGCCUCAAUACAUCAGAAGGAUCAGAGACACCGACAAGCUACAGAGAGUUUACUACCUUUGUACUGACUCAACCGAGAUAGGCACCAAAUCUUCUCUUUUCAUUUCUUUAUAAUUUGAUUUGCUAACUGUGUCCUGUUUACUUUUGGUGAUGGGAGAAAGGAGGUUAUGGGUUAAAAUAUUUACAUGUCUAAGUAUCAUCAUUGUUAGUUCCCUUCAUUCAUGAUGAAAUAAAAUGGGAUAAAAAUCAUUUCACUGUACAUUUAAAUUAAAAGUUCCCAAAGUAUUGGUUGCAUUUCACCAAUAAAUGACAUUUCUUGCUGUUAUUUGUCCCAGGAAACCAACUCCACAGGACUAGACGUCCUUUUAUGCAUCACACAGAUUAUAAAUUUAGGCUUUCAUAUACUUCCCACUUUUGCUAAUUUAUAGAAGGAAAAAUAUGAAUUUAGGGCUUAGUUUUUUCCCCAGGAAGACUUAGGAGAUAGGGGAAUGUGGUAGAGACUAGGUAAGUGUUCGUCCAACUCAAUUUCUCUUCUUCCUGGCACACAGCUUGACUAUAUUUCUCAGCCUCCCUGAAAUUAGGCAUGUGGCCAUGUGACUUCUAACCAGUGAAAUGUGGUCAACAGUGACGUGGCCAGCUUCCAGGGCUGGCCCAUGGAAAACCCAUGGAAAGGCUGGGUCUUUCCUCAUUCCCUCAGCUGGAUAUCAACAUCUAGAGAGUUCUUGGAACCCAAAACUGAGGAAGGUACAGUCUAAUCAUCCUAGGACCCUGAAUGACCCCCCUGGCCCCACUCCUACACAUAAACCUGCCUGGAACUAUCUGGACUCUUUUGCUGAGAGAGAAAUAAACUUUAAUUUUAUUUGAGCCAUUACACAUUUUGAGGCUCUAUUUGUUAUAGCACUUAGCCUAUCUCACCGAAUACACGGAGAUUGAGAAAUCUGUAUAGUAUUGAGAAAUUGGAAAUCAAAAUAAAGAUAAUUAAACCAUUUUAUGAUAUUUUAAAUAAGCCUAUUUUUAAAGAAGCUCCAAGCUCUUGGAGAGCCUAUAAAUGUGAUGUGCUUUUAGGCUAUAUGGUUCAUGAUGGUGUGAAAAAGAGUGGAAAUAUACAAGCCCCUAUGGACAUGGUGGCUCACACUGCAUGCAGAGUUCUGGGAAUAGAACAGAUGCAAAACUCUUCCAAAGAUAACUUUCCCUCUAGCUGAUGAGCUGAGAUCCAGCCUCUUGUGACACAUCCAAAGUACAUCUCCAGAGAUCACUUGAUGGAGGCAGGCUUACCUCACAGCAUCACAGGACCAGCAAGGAGAUGCUGCACUCUUUUUUUAAAUUGUGUGUUGUGCACUUAAAAGAGCUAACAUUUUGAAGUUAGAGGUCUUUUAGCCAGGGAUACCAAUUAAUCUCUUACAAAAAUUCCUUCACCAACAGUACAAUUAAUCCUAAAAUUACCAAUGCAUUUUCAUUGUAAUUAUGUUUUAUCAUUUCCAUCUUUCAUGAGUGGAAAGGCACUAGGAUAAAAUAAUCCUCUAGAAAAUAGUCAUCCAAGAGCUGUGUCUACCAGAUUAAAAAUGCUAUUGCAAUCAAGAAGAACUUUGUGUAAAUGAUGAUGGCGAUGCUUCCUUUUCACAUCCAAGUAGUUCUUGCUGGCUAAUCAGCAAUGGGACGUGUUCUGAGAGUGUUGGUUUGGUCAGGAUGGCAAUCUCUCUUCCAGUGCUCCAUCUGGAGCUUCAGUUUCUCUGGCAACUCUUCAAAUGCUGCUGGGGGUCAGAAGCAGGGUUGUCAAGGGGGAGAGAGAUUGCUGUGACUUAGAUAUAUCCUAUCUUCUCUGACAUUAAUCUGGAUGAGUUAAUGAAUUUCAUGCACCUUGCAAGGUACUGCAAGGCACACUGGAAGCACUCAGAAACACGACUUGUCUUUCCUGUGCCUUAAUACCAGCUCAUAUCCAUUGUGUGCUUACUAUUGCCAGGAAUAAGUAUUCAAGAUCUCAGUUAAGUCCCCUAAGGUGGUGCUAUUAUCCCCAUUUUACAUAUAAGGAAAUAACUCUUGGGGAGGCAGAUAGUUUGCCUGAAACUGUCAAGUUAAUAAAUAACAGUUCCUAAGAAAUCUUAAACAGAGCUGUUUUGCCUCUGACAUGCUUUGGUGGGCUGCAUCUUCAAAUUACAACUUCAUAGAAGGGACUAGAAAUCUAGAAGUUUUGUUGUUCUUUUCUGUUGGUAACAUAUAGCUACUUUGAUUUUUUUUUUUAAACCUCUGUAUCUCUAUUAGCUCACGAUAUAGACAUCUAGUGACCUUACUGGCAACCUGGAGAUACCCUAGGAAGAACUGGACCUUGAUACUGAAAUGAAAAGAAACUAUAAUAAAAACACACAGUGGUGAUCUCAUUUAAACGCCAGAUCUCAAAGGUCCUUUACUAAUAUUUAAAUAUUAUGGACUGAAUUGUAUCCCCUCUGCCAAAUUCUUACGUUGUAGUUCUAACCCCAGUAACUUAGAAUGGGCCUGUAUUUAGAAAUAGGGCCUUUGAAGAGGUGUUUCAGGUAAAAUGAGGUCUUAUGGGUGUGGCCUACCUCAUCCAGUAUGACUCAGGUCUUUAAAAAGAGGAGAUUAGAACCCAGACCCACAUGGAGGAAAGAUCACGUGAAGACAGAGAGAAGACUGCCAUCUCCAAGCCAGAGAGGGCCUCAAAAGCAACCGACCGUGCUGACUCCUUGAUCUUGGACUUCUAGCCUCCAGAAACAUUCUUUUCAUUGGAGAUUCAACCAACAGAGGGAUCAUGUACUAUCUGAUCGAAAGACUAAAUGAAACGUUGCAGGAAUGGCAGAAGG
This is a non-coding RNA of Microcebus murinus (gray mouse lemur), 7656 nucleotides long. The record is from RefSeq and is a predicted model, not a curated record. NCBI's taxonomy places the organism in Eukaryota, Metazoa, Chordata, Mammalia, Primates, Cheirogaleidae.